CAGCUAGUUGGUAAGGUAACGGCUUACCAAGGCGAUGACGGGUAGCUGGUCUGAGAGGAUGAUCAGCCACACUGGAACUGAAACACGGUCCAGACUCCUACGGGAGGCAGCAGUGGGGAAUCUUGCGCAAUGGACGAAAGUCUGACGCAGCCACGCCGCGUGAGUGAAGAAGGCCUUCGGGUUGUAAAGCUCUGUCGGAGGGGACGAAAAUGCUUAGGGUUCACAGCCCUAGGAACUGACGGUACCCUUAAAGGAAGCACCGGCUAACUCUGUGCCAGCAGCCGCGGUAAUACAGAGGGUGCAAGCGUUGCUCGGAAUCAUUGGGCGUAAAGGGCAAGUAGGUGGUCUCAUUUGUCUAGGGUGAAAUCCUUGAGCUUAACUCAAGAAGUGCCCUAGAAACGGUGGGACUAGAGUUCUGGAGAGGGUCGUGGAAUUCCCGGUGUAGCGGUGAAAUGCGUAGAGAUCGGGAGGAACACCAGAGGCGAAGGCGGCGACCUGGACAGACACUGACACUCAACUGCGAAAGCGUGGGGAGCAAACAGGAUUAGAUACCCUGGUAGUCCACG
This 566-nucleotide ribosomal RNA is filed under the name uncultured delta proteobacterium. Its description in RNAcentral is "SSU rRNA". It matches the Rfam family "Bacterial small subunit ribosomal RNA", at positions 242 to 799 of the family's 1533-position model. The record is from RNAcentral. Lineage: Bacteria; Deltaproteobacteria.